AACCAUAGAAACCUGCGGAGUACCUGCGGAGGGAUCAUUAACACUUAUGUACACUUUGUCGCGUCAGUUUACGCUUCGGUUGUGAGUCGUAAAACACUCUCAGCCGCAGGCGCAAAACGGCGGCAAUAAGCACCCAGUGAUUUUGUUGAAGUGAAAAGCAACAGCGUUAAAAAUGGUAGCCAUUCACGUGGUUACCGCGCUACUUUUCACCCCUUCAUAAACACCCUAAACUAUUACACU
RNAcentral lists this unclassified non-coding RNA (240 nucleotides) under soil metagenome. RNAcentral describes it as "partial contains 5.8S ribosomal RNA, internal transcribed spacer 2, and large subunit ribosomal RNA". The record is from RNAcentral.